GACGAACGCUGGCGGCGUGCCUAAUACAUGCAAGUCGAGCGGGGAUUAUGCUUGAUCGCUUCGGUGAGACGGCAUAUAUCCUAGCGGCGGACGGGUGAGUAACGCGUGGGUAAUCUACCUCGUAGUUCGGGAUAACAGGCCGAAAGGCUUGCUAAUACCGGAUGAGUUCAUGCUUAUGCAUAUAGGCAUGAAGAAAGGGCUAGCCCGCUAUGAGAUGAGCCCGCGUCCCAUUAGCUUGUUGGUGGGGUAAUGGCCUACCAAGGCAACGAUGGGUAGCCGGCCUGAGAGGGUGUACGGCCACACUGGGACUGAGACACGGCCCAGACUCCUACGGGGGGCAGCAGUAGGGAAUUUUCGGCAAUGGGCGAAAGCCUGACCGAGCGACGCCGCGUGAGGGACGAAGGCCUUCGGGUUGGUAAACCUCUGUCUGGGGGAUGAGAACGGACGGUACCCCGGAGGAAGCCCCGGCUAACUACGUGCCAGCAGCCGCGGUAAGAGUAACUCUAU
This 507-nucleotide ribosomal RNA is filed under the name uncultured bacterium. RNAcentral describes it as "bacterial SSU rRNA". It matches the Rfam family "Bacterial small subunit ribosomal RNA", at positions 28 to 531 of the family's 1533-position model. The record is from RNAcentral.